This 492-nucleotide ribosomal RNA is filed under the name uncultured bacterium. RNAcentral's name for it is "partial 16S ribosomal RNA". It matches the Rfam family "Bacterial small subunit ribosomal RNA", at positions 29 to 507 of the family's 1533-position model. The record is from RNAcentral.
AGUGAACGCUGGCGGUAGGCCUAACACAUGCAAGUCGAACGGCAGCACAGUAAGAGCUUGCUCUUACGGGUGGCGAGUGGCGGACGGGUGAGGAAUACAUCGGAAUCUACUUUUUCGUGGGGGAUAAUGUAGGGAAACUUACGCUAAUACCGCAUACGACCUACGGGUGAAAGCAGGGGAUCUUCGGACCUUGCGCGAUUGAAUGAGCCGAUGUCGGAUUAGCUAGUUGGCGGGGUAAAGGCCCACCAAGGCGACGAUCCGUAGCUGGUCUGAGAGGAUGAUCAGCAACACUGGAACUGAGACACGGUCCAGACUCCUACGGGAGGCAGCAGUGGGGAAUAUUGGACAAUGGGCGCAAGCCUGAUCCAGCAAUACCGCGUGGGUGAAGAAGGCCUUCGGGUUGUAAAGCCCUUUUGUUGGGAAAGAAAAGCAGCAGGUUAAUACCCCGCUGUUCUGACGGUACCCAAAGAAUAAGCACCGGCUAACUUCGUG